This 411-nucleotide ribosomal RNA is filed under the name uncultured bacterium. RNAcentral describes it as "bacterial SSU rRNA". It matches the Rfam family "Bacterial small subunit ribosomal RNA", at positions 28 to 430 of the family's 1533-position model. The record is from RNAcentral.
GACGAACGCUGGCGGCAUGCCUAAUACAUGCAAGUCGAGCGAACAGAUGAAGUGCUUGCACUUCUGACGUUAGCGGCGAACGGGUGAGUAACACGUAAGGAAUCUACCUAUAAGCGGGGGAUAACAUUCGGAAACGGGUGCUAAUACCGCAUAAUAUCUUCUUCCGCAUGGAAGAAGAUUGAAAGACGGCUCUGCUGUCACUUAUAGAUGACCUUGCGGUGCAUUAGUUAGUUGGUGGGGUAAUGGCCUACCAAGACGAUGAUGCAUAGCCGACCUGAGAGGGUGAUCGGCCACAUUGGGACUGAGACACGGCCCAAACUCCUACGGGAGGCAGCAGUAGGGAAUCUUCCGCAAUGGGCGAAAGCCUGACGGAGCAAUGCCGCGUGAGUGAAGAAGGCCUCGGUCGUAAAC